UACGAAGGGGGCUAGCGUUGCUCGGAUUUACUGGGCGUAAAGGGCGCGUAGGCGGAUAACCAAGUUGGGGGUGAAAUCCCGGGGCUUAACCUCGGAACUGCCUCCAAAACUGGUUGUCUUGAGUUUGGGAGAGGUGUGUGGAACUCCGAGUGUAGAGGUGAAAUUCGUAGAUAUUCGGAAGAACACCAGUGGCGAAGGCGGCUACCUGGACCAGCACUGACACUGAGGCACGAAAGCGUGGGGAGCAAACAGG
RNAcentral lists this ribosomal RNA (253 nucleotides) under uncultured bacterium. RNAcentral describes it as "partial 16S ribosomal RNA". It matches the Rfam family "Bacterial small subunit ribosomal RNA", at positions 524 to 776 of the family's 1533-position model. The record is from RNAcentral.